RNAcentral lists this transfer RNA (23 nucleotides) under Lagochilus ilicifolius. RNAcentral's name for it is "partial tRNA-Gly". The record is from RNAcentral. Lineage: Eukaryota; Viridiplantae; Streptophyta; Magnoliopsida; Lamiales; Lamiaceae.
UUCGUUCUAUUAACCGUUAAUAG